This 696-nucleotide ribosomal RNA is filed under the name uncultured bacterium. RNAcentral's name for it is "bacterial SSU rRNA". It matches the Rfam family "Bacterial small subunit ribosomal RNA", at positions 120 to 830 of the family's 1533-position model. The record is from RNAcentral.
AGGAACUUGCCUCUUGGUCUGGGACAACUGUUGGAAACGACAGCUAAUACCGGAUAUUAUGAGAUUCUCGCAUGGGAAACUUAUGAAAGCUAUAUGCGCCAAGAGAGAGCCUUGCGUUCCAUUAGCUAGUUGGUGGGGUAACGGCCCACCAAGGCGACGAUGGAUAGCCGGCCUGAGAGGGUGAACGGCCACAAGGGGACUGAGACACGGCCCUUACUCCUACGGGAGGCAGCAGUGGGGAAUAUUGGACAAUGGGCCACAAGCCUGAUCCAGCAAUUCUGUGUGCACGAUGAAGGUCUUCGGAUUGUAAAGUGCUUUCAGUUGGGAAGAAGAAAGUGACGGUACCAACAGAAGAAGCGACGGCUAAAUACGUGCCAGCAGCCGCGGUAAUACGUAUGUCGCAAGCGUUAUCCGGAUUUAUUGGGCGUAAAGCGCGUCUAGGCGGAAAAAUAAGUCUGAUGUUAAAAUGCGGGGCUCAACUCCGUAUUGCGUUGGAAACUGUUUUUCUAGAGUACUGGAGAGGUGGGCGGAACUACAAGUGUAGAGGUGAAAUUCGUAGAUAUUUGUAGGAAUGCCGAUGGAGAAGUCAGCUCACUGGACAGAUACUGACGCUAAAGCGCGAAAGCGUGGGGAGCAAACAGGAUUAGAUACCCUGGUAGUCCACGCCGUAAACGAUGAUCACUAGGUGUUGGGGGU